This 117-nucleotide non-coding RNA is filed under the name Pontibacillus yanchengensis. RNAcentral's name for it is "SAM-I sequence". It matches the Rfam family "SAM riboswitch aptamer (S box leader)". Rfam says of the family: The SAM riboswitch is found upstream of a number of genes which code for proteins involved in methionine or cysteine biosynthesis in Gram-positive bacteria. The SAM riboswitch acts at the level of transcription termination control. The predicted structure consists of a complex stem-loop region followed by a single stem loop terminator region. The record is from RNAcentral. RNAcentral also lists the same sequence under 1 other name. Lineage: Bacteria; Bacillati; Bacillota; Bacilli; Caryophanales; Bacillaceae.
CUCUUAUCUAGAGUGGCAGAGGGAAUAGGCCCUGCGAAGCCCGGCAACCUUUCAUAGGAACGAUGUUGAAAAAGGUGCUAAAUCCUACAGAUUCUAAAAAAAUCUGGAAGAUAAGAG